CGUAGGCGGCUUUAUAAGUCUGGAGUGAAAGUCCUCUUUUCAAGGGAGGAAUUGCUUUGGAAACUAUAGAGCUUGAGUGCAGGAGAGGUUAUCGGAAUUCCCGGUGUAGCGGUGAAAUGCGUAGAUAUCGGGAGGAACAUCGGUGGCGAAGGCGGGUAACUGGACUGCAACUGACGCCGAGGCGCGAAAGUGUGGGGGGCAAACA
This 205-nucleotide ribosomal RNA is filed under the name uncultured bacterium. Its description in RNAcentral is "partial 16S ribosomal RNA". It matches the Rfam family "Bacterial small subunit ribosomal RNA", at positions 570 to 774 of the family's 1533-position model. The record is from RNAcentral.